RNAcentral lists this ribosomal RNA (428 nucleotides) under uncultured bacterium. RNAcentral describes it as "bacterial SSU rRNA". It matches the Rfam family "Bacterial small subunit ribosomal RNA", at positions 355 to 776 of the family's 1533-position model. The record is from RNAcentral.
UGGGGAAUCUUGCCCAAUGGGCGCAAGCCUGAGGCAGCGACGCCGCGUGGGGGAAGAAGGCCUUCGGGUUGUAAACCCCUUUCAGGAGGGACGAAGCCACUCGGGUUAAUACCCCAGAGGGUGACGGUACCUCCAGAAGAAGCCCCGGCUAACUACGUGCCAGCAGCCGCGGUAAUACGUAGGGGGCAAGCGUUGUCCGGAUUUAUUGGGCGUAAAGCGCGUGUAGGCGGCCACACAGGUCCGUUGUGAAAACUCGAGGCUCAACCUCGAGACGUCGAUGGAAACCGUGUGGCUAGAGUCCGGAAGAGGAGUGUGGAAUUCCCGGUGUAGCGGUGAAAUGCGCAGAUAUCGGGAAGAACACCCAUGGCGAAGGCAGCACUCUGGGACGGUACUGACGCUGAGACGCGAAAGCGUGGGGAGCGAACAGG